This 325-nucleotide ribosomal RNA is filed under the name uncultured bacterium. RNAcentral describes it as "bacterial SSU rRNA". It matches the Rfam family "Bacterial small subunit ribosomal RNA", at positions 202 to 507 of the family's 1533-position model. The record is from RNAcentral.
AAAGCCGGGGACCUUCGGGCCUAGGCGCGAUUUGGAUGAGCCCACGUCGGAUUAGCUAGUUGGCGGGGUAAAGGCCCACCAAGGCGACGAUCCGUAGCUGGUCUGAGAGGAUGAUCAGCCACACUGGAACUGAGACACGGUCCAGACUCCUACGGGAGGCAGCAGUAGGGAAUAUUGGACAAUGGGCGCAAGCCUGAUCCAGCCAUGCCGCGUGAGUGAAGAAGGCCCUCGGGUUGUAAAGCUCUUUUGUCCGGAAAGAAAAGCGCCGGGUUAAUACCCUGGUGUCCUGACGGUACCGGAAGAAUAAGCACCGGCUAACUUCGUG